This 230-nucleotide ribosomal RNA is filed under the name uncultured bacterium. RNAcentral describes it as "partial 16S ribosomal RNA". It matches the Rfam family "Bacterial small subunit ribosomal RNA", at positions 356 to 603 of the family's 1533-position model. The record is from RNAcentral.
GGGGAAUAUUGCACAAUGGGCGAAAGCCUGAUGCAGCAACGCCGCGUGAGUGAUGAAGGUCUUCGGAUUGUAAAGCUCUGUCUUUUGGGACGAUAAUGACGGUACCAAAGGAGGAAGCCACGGCUAACUACGUGCCAGCAGCCGCGGUAAUACGUAGGUGGCGAGCGUUGUCCGGAUUUACUGGGCGUAAAGGGUGCGUAGGCGGAUGUUUAAGUGAGAUGUGAAAUACC